Molecule: ribosomal RNA, 464 nt
Filed under: uncultured bacterium
Lineage: Bacteria
Description: bacterial SSU rRNA
Rfam family: Bacterial small subunit ribosomal RNA
Source: RNAcentral
GUACGGGAGGCAGCAGUGGGGAAUUUUCCGCAAUGGGCGAAAGCCUGACGGAGUGACGCCGCGUGUGGGAUGAAGGCCUUCGGGUCGUAAACCACUGUCAGUGGGAAAGAAGGGUGUCGGCGCGAUAACCGCCGGCAUCUGACGGUACCUGCAGAGGAAGCCCCGGCUAACUCUGUGCCAGCAGCCGCGGUAAGACAGAGGGGGCAAGCGUUGCUCGGAAUUACUGGGCGUAAAGGGCGCGUAGGCGGGAUGGCAAGUCGGUCGUGAAAUACCUCGGCUCAACUGAGGAGCGUCGAUCGAAACUGCCGUUCUUGAGGGUUGCAGAGGAGACUGGAAUUCCCGGUGUAGCGGUGAGAUGUGUAGAGAUCGGGAGGAACACCGGUGGCGAAGGCGGGUCUCUGGGCAAUUCCUGACGCUGAGGCGCGAAAGCGUGGGGAGCAAACGGGAUUAGAUACCCCGGUAGG